This 521-nucleotide ribosomal RNA is filed under the name uncultured bacterium. RNAcentral describes it as "bacterial SSU rRNA". It matches the Rfam family "Bacterial small subunit ribosomal RNA", at positions 29 to 533 of the family's 1533-position model. The record is from RNAcentral.
AACGAACGCUGGCGGCGUGCCUAAUACAUGCAAGUCGAACGAGAGGAUGGGGUAACCCAUUAGUAAAGUGGCAGACGGGUGAGUAAUACAUAAGUAACUUACCUUUUAGUUGGGGAUAACCUUCCGAAAGGAGGGCUAAUACCGAAUAAGACCACAAGAACUACGGUUCUAGGGGUUAAAGGUGGCUUCGGCUAUCGCUAAAAGAUGGGCUUAUGCACCAUCAGGUAGUUGGUAAGGUAACGGCUUACCAAGCCUAUGACGGUUAACUGAUCUGAGAGGUUGAUCAGUCACACUGGAACUGAGACACGGUCCAGACUCCUACGGGAGGCAGCAGUAGGGAAUAUUGCGCAAUGGAGGAAACUCUGACGCAGCGACGCCGCGUGGGUGAUGAAGGCUUUCGGGUCGUAAAGCCCUGUCGGAGGAGAAGAAAACGGUAUGGCUAAUAUCCAUACCGCUUGACGGUAUCCUUAAAGGAAGCACCGGCUAACUACGUGCCAGCAGCCGCGGUAAGGUCGUCAUGU